Chrysemys picta bellii (western painted turtle) is the source of this 73-nucleotide small nucleolar RNA. NCBI's taxonomy places the organism in Eukaryota, Metazoa, Chordata, Testudines, Emydidae. The record is from Ensembl.
CUUCUGAUGAUGAUAACUUUGUCCAGUUCUGCUACUGAAUGGAGAGCAAUGACAACCUGUGACGCUGAAGAAG